Molecule: transfer RNA, 63 nt
Filed under: Blattisocius tarsalis
Lineage: Eukaryota; Metazoa; Arthropoda; Arachnida; Mesostigmata; Blattisociidae
Description: tRNA-Phe
Source: RNAcentral
AUUUUUAUAGUUUAACACAAAACAUAGCUUUGAAAAAGCUAAAAUAAUUCUAUUUUAAAAAUA